AGUGAACGCUGGCGGUAGGCCUAACACAUGCAAGUCGAACGGCAGCACAGUAAGAGCUUGCUCUUACGGGUGGCGAGUGGCGGACGGGUGAGGAAUACAUCGGAAUCUACUUUUUCGUGGGGGAUAACGUAGGGAAACUUACGCUAAUACCGCAUACGACCUACGGGUGAAAGCAGGGGAUCUUCGGACCUUGCGCGAUUGAAUGAGCCGAUGUCGGAUUAGCUAGUUGGCGGGGUAAGGGCCCACCAAGGCGACGAUCCGUAGCUGGUCUGAGAGGAUGAUCAGCCACACUGAAACUGAGACACGGUCCAGACUCCUACGGGAGGCAGCAGUGGGGAAUAUUGGACAAUGGGCGCAAGCCUGAUCCAGCCAUACCGCGUGGGUGAAGAAGGCCUUCGGGUUGUAAAGCCCUUUUGUUGGGAAAGGAAAGCAGCAGGUUAAUACCCCGCUGUUCUGACGGUACCCAAAGAAUAAGCACCGGCUAACUUCGUG
This 492-nucleotide ribosomal RNA is filed under the name uncultured bacterium. Its description in RNAcentral is "partial 16S ribosomal RNA". It matches the Rfam family "Bacterial small subunit ribosomal RNA", at positions 29 to 507 of the family's 1533-position model. The record is from RNAcentral.